This 433-nucleotide ribosomal RNA is filed under the name uncultured bacterium. Its description in RNAcentral is "partial 16S ribosomal RNA". It matches the Rfam family "Bacterial small subunit ribosomal RNA", at positions 29 to 507 of the family's 1533-position model. The record is from RNAcentral.
AACGAACGCUGGCGGCAUGCCUAACACAUGCCAGUCGAACGAGACCUUCGGGUCUAGUGGCGCACGGGUGCGUAACGCGUGGGAACCUGCCCUUAGGUUCAGAAUAACUCCCCGAAAGGGGUGCUAAUACCGGAUAAUGUCUUCGGACCAAAGAUUUAUCGCCUUUGGAUGGGCCCGCGUUGGAUUAGCUAGUUGGUAGGGUAAAAGCCUACCAAGGCGACGAUCCAUAGCUGGUCUGAGAGGAUGAUCAGCCACACUGGGACUGAGACACGGCCCAGACUCCUACGGGAGGCAGCAGUGGGGAAUAUUGGACAAUGGGCGAAAGCCUGAUCCAGCAAUGCCGCGUGAGUGAUGAAGGCCUUAGGGUUGUAAAGCUCUUUUACCCGGGAUGAUAAUGACAGUACCGGGAGAAUAAGCGCCGGCUAACUCCGUG